This 253-nucleotide ribosomal RNA is filed under the name uncultured bacterium. Its description in RNAcentral is "partial 16S ribosomal RNA". It matches the Rfam family "Bacterial small subunit ribosomal RNA", at positions 524 to 776 of the family's 1533-position model. The record is from RNAcentral.
GACGGAGGGGGCUAGCGUUGUUCGGAAUUACUGGGCGUAAAGAGUGCGUAGGCGGUUUAGUAAGUUGGAAGUGAAAGCCCGAGGCUUAACCUCGGAACUGCUUUCAAAACUACUAAUCUAGAGUGUAGUAGGGGAUGAUGGAAUUCCUAGUGUAGAGGUGAAAUUCUUAGAUAUUAGGAGGAACACCGGUGGCGAAGGCGGUCAUCUAGGCUACAACUGACGCUGAGGCGCGAAAGCUAGGGGAGCAAACAGG